This 760-nucleotide ribosomal RNA is filed under the name Micrococcaceae bacterium. RNAcentral's name for it is "bacterial SSU rRNA". It matches the Rfam family "Bacterial small subunit ribosomal RNA", at positions 54 to 825 of the family's 1533-position model. Lineage: Bacteria; Bacillati; Actinomycetota; Actinomycetes; Micrococcales; Micrococcaceae. The record is from RNAcentral.
CAUGCAAGUCGAACGAUGAUCCGGUGCUUGCGCCGGGGAUUAGUGGCGAACGGGUGAGUAACACGUGAGUAACCUGCCCUUAACUCUGGGAUAAGCCUGGGAAACUGGGUCUAAUACCGGAUAUGACUCCUCAUCGCAUGGUGGGGGGUGGAAAGCUUUAUUGUGGUUUUGGAUGGACUCGCGGCCUAUCAGCUUGUUGGUGAGGUAAUGGCUCACCAAGGCGACGACGGGUAGCCGGCCUGAGAGGGUGACCGGCCACACUGGGACUGAGACACGGCCCAGACUCCUACGGGAGGCAGCAGUGGGGAAUAUUGCACAAUGGGCGCAAGCCUGAUGCAGCGACGCCGCGUGAGGGAUGACGGCCUUCGGGUUGUAAACCUCUUUCAGUAGGGAAGAAGCGAAAGUGACGGUACCUGCAGAAGAAGCGCCGGCUAACUACGUGCCAGCAGCCGCGGUAAUACGUAGGGCGCAAGCGUUAUCCGGAAUUAUUGGGCGUAAAGAGCUCGUAGGCGGUUUGUCGCGUCUGCCGUGAAAGUCCGGGGCUCAACUCCGGAUCUGCGGUGGGUACGGGCAGACUAGAGUGAUGUAGGGGAGACUGGAAUUCCUGGUGUAGCGGUGAAAUGCGCAGAUAUCAGGAGGAACACCGAUGGCGAAGGCAGGUCUCUGGGCAUUAACUGACGCUGAGGAGCGAAAGCAUGGGGAGCGAACAGGAUUAGAUACCCUGGUAGUCCAUGCCGUAAACGUUGGGCACUAGGUGUGG